This 314-nucleotide ribosomal RNA is filed under the name uncultured bacterium. Its description in RNAcentral is "bacterial SSU rRNA". It matches the Rfam family "Bacterial small subunit ribosomal RNA", at positions 29 to 334 of the family's 1533-position model. The record is from RNAcentral.
AGUUAACGCUGGCUGCGUGCAUAACACAUGCAAGUCGAACGGGGAUUAUAGAUGUAGCAAUACAUAUAUAAUUCUAGUGGCAGACGGGUGAGUAAUACAUAAGGAAUCCACCUGAGAGCGGGGAAUAACUGGCCGAAAGGUUAGCUAAUACCCCAUAAUAUAGAGAAGUGGCAUCACUUUUUUAUUAAAGGUUUUCGCUCACAGACGAUCUUAUGGUCUAUCAGCUAGUUGGUAGGGUAACGGCCUACCAAGGCGACGACGGAUAGCCGGCCUGAAAGGGCGACCGGCCACAGGGGCACUGAGACACGGGCCCC